AUUGAACGCUAGCGGCAUGCCUUACACAUGCAAGUCGAACGGCAGCACGGGAGCAAUCCUGGUGGCGAGUGGCGAACGGGUGAGUAAUAUAUCGGAACGUGCCCGGUCGUGGGGAUAACGUAGCGAAAGCUACGCUAAUACCGCAUACGAUCUACGGAUGAAAGCGGGGGAUCGCAAGACCUCGCGCGAUUGGAGCGGCCGAUAUCAGAUUAGGUAGUUGGUGAGGUAAAGGCUCACCAAGCCGACGAUCUGUAGCUGGUCUGAGAGGACGACCAGCCACACUGGGACUGAGACACGGCCCAGACUCCUACGGGAGCAGCAGUGGGGAAUUUGGACAAUGGCGCAAGACCUGAUCCAGCAAGUGCCGCGUGCAGGAUGAA
RNAcentral lists this ribosomal RNA (380 nucleotides) under uncultured bacterium. RNAcentral's name for it is "bacterial SSU rRNA". It matches the Rfam family "Bacterial small subunit ribosomal RNA", at positions 30 to 412 of the family's 1533-position model. The record is from RNAcentral.